AUAGAAAUAAACCAGACACAAAAGAGUUUAUAUUGUGGCAGGUCAAACGAACCUUUGAAAUAAAUAAAAAUAGAUAACUUUAGCAAUAGCGAUUGACUGGAAAAAAAAAAACGUAAGAAGUUUCUGGAGAGGGAAUAUUCUAUAUCAUGAUAGGGUUACAAAUUAUAUGGAUGGAUGCCUUUGUCAGAAGUGAUCAGAGUUUGUCUCUAAUAUCUCUUAAUUUCAUUAUAUGUAAAUGAUACUUCAUUGUUGUUAAAAAGAUGAUGAUGAUGAUAAAAAUACUCAAUAUAAUCUGCCAAGUAUAGUGUGACUGUAUCAUAGUAAUCAAUCACUGAUAGCCUUGGAAGUCAGGGCUUGGCUGUGAUCUCACUUUGCCUAUUAAUGAGGGUAGCAAAUAUUACCUUUGGGCUUAUCCUUCCUUCCUUCACUUCACAGAUAUUUUUGAGUGAGUUCAUGUGCUGAUACAUCAGUGUUGAACAGGAUAUAAUCCUUGCCUUCAAGGAGCUGAUAAUGGAGCUAUUGUUGGCAUUUCUUAAUUUGCCUCGUCAUCUGUAGAAGGAAAGUGUGAUGCUGGAUCUAAUUGCUGUAGACAUCUGAGUGCACAGCUUCAGUAACUGCAUGAGGAAGGCAGGCUGCCUGAAGUCUUCAAUUAAGAAGUUAAUAAAAAGCAAGAGAAAAUUCAGAGCCAGAUAUAUUACAGCAGCAGAGAAAAAGCAAACAUCUGGUACAUAA
This 732-nucleotide long non-coding RNA is filed under the name Felis catus (domestic cat). Its description in RNAcentral is "lncRNA (ENSFCAG00000051277.1)". Lineage: Eukaryota; Metazoa; Chordata; Mammalia; Carnivora; Felidae. The record is from RNAcentral.